This 1072-nucleotide long non-coding RNA is filed under the name Anas platyrhynchos platyrhynchos (common mallard). RNAcentral's name for it is "lncRNA (ENSAPLG00000018377.1)". Lineage: Eukaryota; Metazoa; Chordata; Aves; Anseriformes; Anatidae. The record is from RNAcentral.
CAGCUAUCCCCCUCUAUCUGCACAAUAAAUGCUGUUGCUUACAGAAACAUGAUUACAGGAUUAGAGUUAUUGGGCCCUCGCCCAGACUAACACACUGACAGAGCAUAGCACUGGCACCUCUGAAAACUGCACUGACCUCAGGCAUCUGUACUUCAAAGGCCACGGCCACAAUCUGAGCUUCAUUAGCUUUCAAGGCUGAAGUUACGGGAGCACUACUUCCUCAGCCACUAAUGGGAAACACUCUCCUCCAUUUGCUGUUGAGGUGUUAAAAGUUCCCCUUAACGUCAGUUACCGAGCUGCAGCUCCGUACCCCAGCAAAAUGGAAAUGACUUGUGGAGUGGGAGCCGAGUUCACAUCGAACGGCAGCGCCAGACACCCCCUACCCAAGCAAAGGGCACUCGCACGUGGGGAUGUUCCAGCACCACCAGGACAGGCUCGCUUCCCCCAAGCACGCUCUGUGGACAUCAGUUCCCUCUCCUACAACUGGACCAUUAUUAUUCAUUUUAUUCAGAUGAUGCACUCUGGGGCACAGGUCACUUCUUACUGUGCUUGCACAGCCCUACCAUAGUCAUUCAGGGCUUGUGGUCAUCACCCUAGUUGAAUAGCAGUAUAUGAAGAGUGAAAUGACGUUAUCAGCUUGCUCAGAGAAGCCAGCUGGUGGCUGGGUGGUGUGGAAGGAGCCCCAGUGUCUCAUGAGUGACCAGAAGGGGGAAGAAACGUUUGUUGCAUGACGGUAUUUGGAAAUGGUAAGAGACCAGAGAACCAGCAGCUAGCUUUAUAGGAGAAUGAAAAAUAUAUGGUAUUACACAGCCUCAGUGAGACCAGAAAGAGACAGGGAAGCAGAACGGAGCUGGAGGGUUUACACCAAAAGCCUUGCUUUUAUUUUUUUUCAGCCCGACCAGCCUUCUCCAGUGCUUUGCCUAUGGGAUCGAUGCUUCUACAUUUUAAGCUGCUGCUGAAUAAAGCUUGUGAGCCUCCCUCUGGGUCAACCAGACCAGGUGGACAGCCCAAGCUCUGUCAGGGGUGGCAGAUCAGGGGACAAGUCACCAUAAUUUUUUCAUCUAAUUGCUGA